Molecule: ribosomal RNA, 439 nt
Filed under: uncultured bacterium
Lineage: Bacteria
Description: partial 16S ribosomal RNA
Rfam family: Bacterial small subunit ribosomal RNA
Source: RNAcentral
CCUACGGGAGGCAGCAGUGGGGAAUAUUGCACAAUGGGGGAAACCCUGAUGCAGCGACGCCGCGUGAGUGAAGAAGAAAUUCGUUAUGUAAAGCUCUAUCAGCAGGGAAGAAAAUGACGGUACCUGAGUAAGAAGCCCCGGCUAACUACGUGCCAGCAGCCGCGGUAAUACGUAGGGGGCAAGCGUUAUCCGGAUUUACUGGGUGUAAAGGGAGCGUAGACGGCAGUGCAAGUCUGGGGUGAAAGGCGGGGGCUCAACCCCCGGACUGCUCUGGAAACUGUACGGUUGGAGUGCAGGAGGGGUAAGUGGAUGUCCUGGUGUAGCGGUGAAAUGCUUAGAUAUUAGGAGGAACCCCAGUGGCGAGGGCGGCUUACGGGACUGUAACUGACGUUGAGGCUCGAAAGCGUGGGGAGCAAACAGGAUUAGAUACCCCGGUAGU